UGGGGGCGCAACGCCCUCGA
Molecule: small nuclear RNA, 20 nt
Filed under: Arabidopsis thaliana (thale cress)
Lineage: Eukaryota; Viridiplantae; Streptophyta; Magnoliopsida; Brassicales; Brassicaceae
Description: snRNA_04071
Source: RNAcentral